Helianthus annuus (common sunflower) is the source of this 99-nucleotide non-coding RNA. The record is from Rfam. Lineage: Eukaryota; Viridiplantae; Streptophyta; Magnoliopsida; Asterales; Asteraceae.
AAAAGAAAGCGAUAUUGGUGAGGUUCAAUCUGAAGACAUAUUUACCAAGCUGUAAAAGACGAUCUCUGAUUGAGCCGCGCCAAUAUCACUUUCCACACC